RNAcentral lists this ribosomal RNA (276 nucleotides) under uncultured bacterium. Its description in RNAcentral is "partial 16S ribosomal RNA". It matches the Rfam family "Bacterial small subunit ribosomal RNA", at positions 36 to 339 of the family's 1533-position model. The record is from RNAcentral.
CUGGCGGCACGCCUAACACAUGCAAGUCGAACGCAGUAGCAAUACUGAGUGGCAAACGGGUGAGUAUAAUGUGGGAAUCUGCCUUUUGGUUCGGAAUAACACGAGGAAACUUGCGCUAAUACCGGGAUAAGCCCUAACGGGGAAAGUUUUAAUGCCAAAAGAUGAGCCCGCACUUGAUUAGCUAGUUGGUAAGGUAAUGGCUUACCAAGGCAACGAUCAAUAGCUGCCCCUUAGAGGAAGACCAGCCACAUUGGGACUGAGACACGGCCAAACUCC